AACGCUGGCGGCGUGGAUAAGACAUGCAAGUCGAGCGCUGAUUACAGGGUAGCAAUAUUCUGUGGUCGGAGCGGCGCAAGGGUGCGUAACACGUGGGUAAUCUGCCAUGAAGUUUGGAAUAACUUGCUGAAAGGCGAGCUAAUGCCGGAUGUGAAAGCUGGGAGGCAUCUCCUGGUUUUUAAAGCUGGGGACCGUAAGGCCUGGCGCUUCAUGAUGAGCCCGCGGCCUAUCAGCUAGUUGGUAAGGUAACGGCUUACCAAGGCUAAGACGGGUAGCUGGUCUUAGAGGACGACCAGCCACACUGGAACUGAGACACGGUCCAGACACCUACGGGUGGCAGCAGUCGAGAAUUUUUCACAAUGGGCGCAAGCCUGAUGGAGCGACGCCGCGUGGGGGAUGAAUGGCUUCGGCCCGUAAACCCCUGUCAUUUGCGAUCAACCGUUGUUGUUUAAGAGAUGACAACCUGAUAGUAGCGAAAGAGGAAGGGACGGCUAACUCUGUGCCAGCAGCCGCGGUAAUACAGAGGUCCCAAGCGUUGUUCGGAUUCACUGGGCGUAAAGGGUGCGUAGGUGGCGGGGUAAGUCGGAUGUGAAAUCUCCGAGCUCAACUCGGAAAUGGCAUUGGAAACUGCUCUGCUCGAGGGUUGGAGGGGGGACUGGAAUACUUGGUGUAGCAGUGAAAUGCGUAGAUAUCAAGUGGAACACCAGUGGCGAAGGCGAGUCCCUGGACAACUCCUGACACUGAGGCACGAAAGCUAGGGGAGCAAACAGGAUUAGAUACCCUGGUAGUCCUAGCCGUAAACGGUGCACGUUUGCUGUAAAAGGAAUCGACCCCUUUUGUGGCGUAGCCAACGCGUUAAACGUGCCGCCUGGGAAGUACGGUCGCAAGAUUAAAACUC
This 898-nucleotide ribosomal RNA is filed under the name uncultured bacterium. RNAcentral describes it as "bacterial SSU rRNA". It matches the Rfam family "Bacterial small subunit ribosomal RNA", at positions 32 to 902 of the family's 1533-position model. The record is from RNAcentral.